UACGGAGGGUGCGAGCGUUAAUCGGAAUUACUGGGCGUAAAGGGUGCGCAGGCGGUCCCGCAAGUCAGGCGUGAAAUCCCCGGGCUUAACCUGGGAAUGGCACUUGAAACUACGGGACUGGAGUAUGGCAGAGGGAGGUGGAAUUCCACGUGUAGCGGUGAAAUGCGUAGAGAUGUGGAGGAACACCGAUGGCGAAGGCAGCCUCCUGGGCCAAUACUGACGCUCAUGCACGAAAGCGUGGGGAGCAAACAGG
This 253-nucleotide ribosomal RNA is filed under the name uncultured bacterium. RNAcentral describes it as "partial 16S ribosomal RNA". It matches the Rfam family "Bacterial small subunit ribosomal RNA", at positions 524 to 776 of the family's 1533-position model. The record is from RNAcentral.